Molecule: long non-coding RNA, 823 nt
Filed under: Androctonus crassicauda
Lineage: Eukaryota; Metazoa; Arthropoda; Arachnida; Scorpiones; Buthidae
Source: RNAcentral
AUGUAUUCUAUCGACAUUCAUGGCGAAAACGAAACUAACAAUAGUUUGUUGUCUUUAUUCUGACAAAACAUAAAUUUUUAUGACGAUUACAUUGUCAUCUUUCAAGGACACAAUUAAACUAAAUAAUAACUUGCACAUUUUUAGUACUCUAGCGCCACCAAUUAACAACUAGCAAAAAAACGCACAAACUUUCCGGACAACCCAGUAUUAGUAAAUAUAUUAGCUUAUGAAUACUUGCCUUGCACAUUUGUGAAAGGCAAGUAAUAGAUGUUUCUUUUCAAUUGCUCCAACUUGAUUCGAAUUAUGUCCCAUAUGAUAUUUCAUACUUGAUCCUGCUUUCUCUAUUUAUCUAUUUGUUCUAGAAAAUGAUAAAAACCAUCUAAUUGUUUGAAUAUGCUUUGGUUAUGUAAAAUUUAUUCUAAAUUUACUAGCACAUCUCAUUUUGAAAAAAAGGAUGGGAUGGAUGGUCUUUUAUACUACAUAUGUUAGAAUUGUAAUGCUGUAUUCCAAACUAGCAUGCACUCAAUGUUAUUUUCAUGUUUAUGUUACUUGUGGUUUUUCCCCUUACUGCCGAGGGCAUGGCAACUCCCAACAUGGGGGUUCUCUUCUCGUGUCCGAACGAGACUGCAUGUGUCAUUCCUCACUCCUUGUAACGUCCACCUUUUUUUUAUUCAUCUGAAAUAAACGUUUUUGAUAUCUGUUACCACUGUGAUUCAUUUUAUUAUACAACCUCUAACAACAUAUAUAUACAGGAUGAGAGAAAAGUCUGUACCCCUCCAAAUGAUUUGAUAAAUAUCAUAGAUUUUAAAAGUAUGUUAAUGUC